AAAGAUGUAGUUUAUUUAGAACAUGUUAUUUACAUUAACAAGGUGAGUGUCUUUA
RNAcentral lists this transfer RNA (55 nucleotides) under Ricinus sp. ADS-2020. RNAcentral's name for it is "tRNA-Val". Lineage: Eukaryota; Metazoa; Arthropoda; Insecta; Psocodea; Ricinidae. The record is from RNAcentral.